RNAcentral lists this unclassified non-coding RNA (207 nucleotides) under soil metagenome. RNAcentral's name for it is "partial contains 5.8S ribosomal RNA, internal transcribed spacer 2, and large subunit ribosomal RNA". The record is from RNAcentral.
AACCAUAGAAACCUGCGGAGUACCUGCGGAGGGAUCAUUACCGAGUUUACAACUCCCAAACCCCUGUGAACAUACCACUUGUUGCCUCGGCGGAUCAGCCCGCUCCCGGUAAAACGGGACGGCCCGCCAGAGGACCCCUAAACUCUGUUUCUAUAUGUAACUUCUGAGUAAAACCAUAAAUAAAUCAAAACUUUCAGCAAUGGAUCU